RNAcentral lists this ribosomal RNA (501 nucleotides) under uncultured bacterium. Its description in RNAcentral is "partial 16S ribosomal RNA". It matches the Rfam family "Bacterial small subunit ribosomal RNA", at positions 30 to 523 of the family's 1533-position model. The record is from RNAcentral.
AUUGAACGCUGGCGGCAGGCUUAACACAUGCAAGUCGAGCGGGGGAAGGUAGCUUGCUACCGGACCUAGCGGCGGACGGGUGAGUAAUGCUUAGGAAUCUGCCUAUUAGUGGGGGACAACAUCUCGAAAGGGAUGCUAAUACCGCAUACGUCCUACGGGAGAAAGCAGGGGAUCUUCGGACCUUGCGCUAAUAGAUGAGCCUAAGUCGGAUUAGCUAGUUGGUGGGGUAAAGGCCUACCAAGGCGACGAUCUGUAGCGGGUCUGAGAGGAUGACCCGCCACACUGGGACUGAGACACGGCCCAGACUCCUACGGGAGGCAGCAGUGGGGAAUAUUGGACAAUGGGGGGAACCCUGAUCCAGCCGUGCCGCGUGUGUGAAGAAGGCCUUAUGGUUGUAAAGCACUUUAAGCGAGGAGGAGGCUACUUUAGUUAAUACCUAGAGAUAGUGGACGUUACUCGCAGAAUAAGCACCGGCUAACUCUGUGCCAGCCGCCGCAGUAA